CGUCCAGACUCCUACGGGAGGCAGCAGUGAGGAAUAUUGGUCAAUGGUCGGGAGACUGAACCAGCCAAGCCGCGUGAGGGAGGAAGGUACAGAGUAUCGUAAACCUCUUUUGUCAGGGAACAAAGGCGGGGACGUGUCCCCGGAUGAGUGUACCUGAAGAAAAAGCAUCGGCUAACUCCGUGCCAGCAGCCGCGGUAAUACGUAUGGUGCAAGCGUUAUCCGGAUUUACUGGGUGUAAAGGGAGCGCAGGCGGUACGGCAAGUCUGAUGUGAAAGCCCGGGGCUCAACCCCGGUACUGCAUUGGAAACUACCGGACUGGAGUGUCGGAGGGGUAAGUGGAAUUCCUAGUGUAGCGGUGAAAUGCGUAGAUAUUAGGAGGAACACCAGUGGCGAAGGCGGCCUGCUGGGCUUUAACUGACGCUGAGGCUCGAAAGCGUGGGGAGCAAACAGGAUUAGAUACCCGCGUAC
RNAcentral lists this ribosomal RNA (468 nucleotides) under uncultured bacterium. RNAcentral's name for it is "bacterial SSU rRNA". It matches the Rfam family "Bacterial small subunit ribosomal RNA", at positions 328 to 793 of the family's 1533-position model. The record is from RNAcentral.